GACCCCUGAAGGGACGUUGAAGACUACGACGUUGAUAGGCCGGGUGUGUAAGCGCAGCGAUGCGUUGAGCUAACCGGUACUAAUGACCCGUGAGGCUUAACCUUACAACGCCAGAAGCGUUCUG
RNAcentral lists this ribosomal RNA (124 nucleotides) under Erwinia sp. OLMDLW33. RNAcentral describes it as "partial 23S ribosomal RNA". The stretch from base 1 to 104 matches the Rfam family "Bacterial large subunit ribosomal RNA", at positions 2822 to 2925 of the family's 2925-position model. The record is from RNAcentral. Lineage: Bacteria; Pseudomonadati; Pseudomonadota; Gammaproteobacteria; Enterobacterales; Erwiniaceae.